Molecule: long non-coding RNA, 298 nt
Organism: Cololabis saira (Pacific saury)
Lineage: Eukaryota; Metazoa; Chordata; Actinopteri; Beloniformes; Belonidae
Exons: 3
Source: RefSeq, a predicted model, not a curated record
UGAGCGGAGAAGAAGGCGGGACGUCCAGCGACAGGUGCGGGAUGGGAUGCGCAACUGUUUGGACAGCAGCUCAGUUCAAGUCCCGUACGUGAGGUCGUGGGUGGCCAAAGGACACAGAACCGCCACUGACACACGCAGUAAAACCCGAAACAGAGAGGGGGAGGAGAAUCCGGACAUGCUCGUGGUGUGGAGUGUUUUGGACAACUAAAUAUGACUCACCAGCUUUGCUUAAAAAGACCAAGGGUCUCCUCCUCACUGUGUUGCUGGCUCCUGCAGGAGGAACUACUCAGUCGGGCGG